Long non-coding RNA from Alligator mississippiensis (American alligator), 2531 nucleotides. RefSeq lists it as uncharacterized. The transcript is spliced from 3 exons. NCBI's taxonomy places the organism in Eukaryota, Metazoa, Chordata, Crocodylia, Alligatoridae. The record is from RefSeq and is a predicted model, not a curated record.
GACAGCUGGGCAUGGAUAGCUUGAACAAUCAAACAUUCUCCUUCCCAAAUGCUAGCUACUAGGGCUGUGCAAAGCUUCGGGUGCUGAUUCAAUCGGAGAAGAUUUGGUUUGAUUCAGUGGCCAAAUCUCCAAAUCCAAAUUGAAUCGGGGACCAAUUAAAAGGCCUGAAUUGAUACAAAGCAUGAUUCAGACAGACCACAGUGGCUGCAGCAGGGAGCUACAGCCAGACACAGAGCUGCAGGUUUCUUUAAUGCAACUCAGAUCAAACACCCAGAAACUGAGGGACCUGGACUCACCAGGCACUUCUGAAAAUCUGGGCUUUCAUCUUUAAAUAUGAAUCUUACCUUCACAUUGGGAUAAUAAUAAACACAGCUCUAGUCUCCUGCCUACUGAAUCUGCUCCAGAGGCUAACUGAAUCCCAGUGGCUGAGAAGCCUCAGCCAGCAUCAUCCUGUGACCUUCCUACAGGAACUUGAUUGUCUCUUUGGCUGACUGAAAGGGGAAUAGAAACCCAGAGUGUGAAAGAAUAAGGUCAUAUCCCUGAGAGUGUUACAUGCAAAUAGAAGAAAAUCUUGUGGAGGAAAAAGAGAACUAUGGGGUAAAUGGAAAGGGAAAAGAAAGAACAAAAAAAAAAAAGGAGAGAAAUAAAGACAGUUGCUGUCUGGAACCUACAGCAAUAAUCAGUGAACACAUGAACUGGAGAACCACCUGAUCUACAUAAUAUUGUUAUGGGUGAUAAUAUAGUUAUGACAGCAGGUAAUGGGAGAUCAUUUGGGAUGGUCUAGAACUGGACCUCAAUGUAUGGGACUUAGAUGAAUGGGACUUGGCUCUGCAUCAGAUUAGGUUUGGAUUAUGCAACCUUAUGAUCUUCACCCUCCUCUAUUAUACAGUAGUUUCAACUUGUAACUAAUUCCUAACAUACUUAGCUGUAAAAUCCAGACACAUCCUGAACAAUAAAAGGAAUAUAUAAACUGGAACUUAGGUAAGGGAGUUGUAUUUUACUAUGGCUUAAUUCUGGGAAACACCUAGGGCUUAGUUGUAGAGGAUUCCGUAGGCAGAUGUCAUUUGAAAACUGGAACAAAGAGAUUUUAGCUAGAAACAAAUUGCUUGGGCUAAAUAGACUGUAUUAUUAAUCAUAUCUGCAUCACUACCUUAUGAUAUUUCUAAAUGGCAUCUAAGAACAGCAUAGUUUAUCCUGUUAUACAUCUUGUAACUAAUAUGGCAUAAUGUUUGUGAAAUAGGAUGCCUAUCAAGCCACAUAUCAGAGCCUGUGAAAAGGCAACAUAAUUCCAAGAAUGUUUUGCCUACCGUGGAUAUAAUAAAUAAAUCAAGGCAAUUGCACAAGCCACAACUUAGGUGGCACUAAUUAAACCAGUGGAAGCUAUGACACAACAUAAUUAUCAUUGCUACCCCACCUAAAUUUAAUUUUAGUGUUUCUUCCUAUCUUUUCCCUAGAGGGUCAAUAGAAGAUCUUAAAUGCAUGCUUCAACAGUGUCGAUUUCUAGAGGCAGCAUGGAAGAGAAAUGUUGAAUAAUUACAGGAGUGCAAGUAAGGGGAAAGAGGUGGGACUAUUAUGGGAAGUAAAACAACACUCUUCACAACAAUGGGGAAAGGGGGAUUCUGGGUUAAAUUUGCCACAAGGCCACUUAGUUAUGCCCUCAAAAUAGGCCUUACAUGAGACUUGAGUACAGGACAGGUCAUUUUGGCUUGCUACACAGGGGUGCAUUUCACCCACUGAAUACAAGAUCCUGCUGAGAAAGGAACUAAAGCACACAUGUCAUUCUAAGCUCGUGUGAUAUGCUACAAAUGUCACUGGAGCUCCUAACAGGCUUACCUUUAUGCAGAAGAUUAAGGGCCUUGGUGAAGAGGGUCAACAGGUUUUCUGUUUCUGGGAAGUUUUUUGCUGGAGUUACUGGAACUCCUGAGGGGAAAUAAGCAGAUCAGAAAAAUGGCCCAAUGGUUCAUGUACCAUAUUGUGACUUGUGAAACUUAUGGGUCAGUUCCUCAGUCUGCUACAGAUUUCCCCGGUGGCCUUGGAAAAGUCAUUUAGUCUUGCAUGUCAGCUGGUUUCUCAACUAUAAGUGGGGAUAAUAGCACUGCCCCAUGUCACUAGGUGCUGUGAGGACAAAUGUAGUAUAGACCAUGAGAUGUUUGGAUAUUACAGUGAGGAAGAAACGUAUGAAUACAUAAGGAAAAUGGCUUAUUGUUGUUUGCAGAUGUGACCCCUAUGUCUGUCAGUGAGUUACCUUGUAAUUACGUCACACUGUUAUUGUUAAAGUAUCUACAGGGGACAGAGUGACUUUGAAUUCGGAGCUGAAAGUGGUUUAUACCAACAACAUCUUUUUGGCCACUGCAUUUCAUUUGGAUAGAAGUCUGCAUCAUCAUAGCGAAUGGAAGAGAGAAAGGUUCUCUUUCAAAAACUUCUAGAGCUGAUAUAUUUCAGCAGGUUAAUUACAGCGGCUCUUCUUUGACCUUUUUUCUGUUCAUCUGCUCCUUGCUGCAUUUACAAUAAAGCAUUUUCCUUUGACACUG